CCUUGGGGACCCACCACAGCCUGUACAGGGGGUCUACCCCCUCCUCAGGCCAGGCAGGGGUGUCACCCUGAGAUGUGGGGAGUUGGGGGGGGUGGAAUGGACAACACUAAGGACCCCAACCCUGUGUCCCCCCACCCACCCCCAGCCGAUAAGGCGCUGCUGCGGAGCCAGCUGGACCAGGCAGCCCUGGCCAAGAAGGAAAUGGAGGAAAACUGCCGCAAAGCGGGGUCCACCUUGACCAGGGCCACCCAGGAGCAGGAGAACUGCCAGCGGGACCUGCUCACCACCAAGACCUCCUGCGAGGCCACCCAAACCAACCUGAAGCUGCUGAAACACGAGUGCGGGACCUUGAGGUCCGACAUCAGCUACUCCUUCCAGCGCAUCAAGGACAUGCUCAGCCCCUACAGCUGCAGCGCCGUCUACGAGCAGCUCAACCGGUUGACCCAACGGAUGGAGGGGCUUUUCCUCUGGCAGCAGGAACGGGAGACCCUCUACGUGGGGAAGAGCGUCUGCGACCUGACCCUCCAGCAGUGCCACCUCAACUGCUCCCGGGAGAAGCAGGAGCUGGAGAAGCGGCUGCAGGAGAUGGAGAAGCAGGUGAAGGUGGGGCAGGAGGAGAAGAAGAAGGUGCUGGGGGAGAAGGAGCAGCUGGGCAAGGAGCUGGAGGAGAAGAGCAAGGCGGCCGCGCAGGCCACGUACUUCAAGGACCAGUUCAACAUCUGCAUGAACACCAAGAUGGACACCUUCUUCGACGUCACGGGCUCGCGGGUGCUGGGGGGCAGCGGGCGGAUGGUCCCCUUCACCAGCACCAGCUCCUACGUGGAUGCUCUGAGGAACCAGGGCAUCUUCGGGAACAUGGGUGAGUCCUGAGGGGUGGGGGGGUUUGUCACUGUGGGACACCGUCCUCCCCAUCGUGCUGGGGGGCCAGCGUGUCCCCCGUUGUCCCCUCCCCCCCCCCACCUCCCACAGCCCCCCCAGGACUCAGCCCCCCCCCCCGCUCCGUCCCACCAGGGAAAAUCAACACGGAGGAGAUCCAGCGGUCGGUGCAGAAGAUCAUAGAGCAGUACACGUCGUCCACCCUGAAAAACUCCAGGUGAGGUGGGGCGGGGGGCCCGGUACGGGACCCCCACCGGUGCUGGGGGGGGGGAGGGGGUCAGGAGAGGGGGCUGGGGGCCUGAUCCUGCCUUCUCUGCAGCGGUUAAUGCCCGAGCGGCACGUGGAACGGAGGACGAGCCCAGGAGGUGCUUCUCACGGCACGGACGGCAAACCCCAACCGGGACCACCGGGACCACCACCGUCCUCCCCCCUGCCCCGGGGAAGGGGGGGGCCACCAGCGUGUCGGGGUCCAGAGCCCCCUUCUGCUGUCCCCCGAGCCCCCCCGCACGCUCGCCUCCUCCCCGCAUGUACCCGUAGGCUUGGAGAGGGGGCAGCUGUAAAUACAGCCGGCUCUGAGCACCGACGCAGCUCGUCGCACGCGUGUUUCGGCGCCGACGUUGGGAGGGGGGGAACCGCAGAGGCCACGGCCGGGAUGGGGAACGGGAACAUCCCGUCCCCGGCUUCA
This 1561-nucleotide long non-coding RNA is filed under the name Calidris pygmaea (Spoon-billed sandpiper). Its description in RNAcentral is "lncRNA (ENSCPGG00000019576.1)". Lineage: Eukaryota; Metazoa; Chordata; Aves; Charadriiformes; Scolopacidae. The record is from RNAcentral.